CCUACGGGAGGCAGCAGUGGGGAAUAUUGGGCAAUGGGCGCAAGCCUGACCCAGCAACGCCGCGUGAAGGAUGAAGGUUUUCGGAUUGUAAACUUCUGUUGCUACGGACGAAGAAUGAGGGUAGCUCGUCUGAAAGCAGCGGCUAACUACGUGCCAGCAGCCGCGGUAAUACGUAGGGGGCGAGCGUUGUCCGGAAUGACUGGGCGUAAAGGGAGUGUAGGCGGCCUUGUAAGGUAGAUGUGAAAUCCUAAGGCUUAACCGUAGAACUGCAUCUAAAACUGUGCGGCUGGAGUGCAGGAGAGGUGAGUGGAAUUCCUAGUGUAGCGGUGGAAUGCGUAGAUAUUAGGAGGAACACCAGAUGCGAAGGCGACUCACUGGACUGUAACUGACGCUGAGGCUCGAAGGCGUGGGGAGCGAACAGGAUUAGAUACCCCAGUAGUC
This 441-nucleotide ribosomal RNA is filed under the name uncultured bacterium. RNAcentral describes it as "partial 16S ribosomal RNA". It matches the Rfam family "Bacterial small subunit ribosomal RNA", at positions 338 to 795 of the family's 1533-position model. The record is from RNAcentral.